UGAAGAUGUAUUCAACAAAGUCAAUGGGAAACAGUCAGCAGCUGUCAUUGCCCCACAAGCACCCUCAUGAGAUCAUUUGUCAAGUGCUAUAAAACUCUCUUGGUAACACCGGUUUUAAAGUAUUGUGAUAUACCUACAGGGUGUAUCAGAAAAAAAAAGACUCUCAGAAAAAGGACCAUAAAAAUGACAUAGGACCAAGUUUCAAAAAUCUGGUUGUACCCGUUGGUGAAGGGUGUAGUUCUGCUUUGAUUGAUGCCAGUUUCGUGGUUCACGUUUCACACUUCAGUUAGCACAGGAAGUUUGAAAUAAAAGUCUGUUGCGCACAGGUGUGUGAGGGUUAAAAUUCAUCAAGAAAUGUAUGCCAUGUUUAUCCCUCUCUGCUUGGUAAUGAUACACCCAGAAGUGAGAUUAUUUUGGUGUCGAUUUUAAAAGGGUUAAUUAUUUUUCAAAUUUUAUGUGUGCAAGGAAAAGUCCUUUUUACCCUUUUCAUUCAAUCCAACAGAUCUCAUUUUAACCAGAAUUCACAGAAUUACAGAGUUCAAACGUUAAAAAGGACCCAAAACAGUUCUUAGAAGAACACAAAGAACUAAUCUAAUUGGAGUACAAGAUGUCUAAAAAUAAAGUACAUUCAAAUUAAUUCGCUUCAGCUACAGCAAUUAACUUGACCUCAAGGAUAGAAAACUAUUAAGUUAAACAACUAUAUUAUUGAGGGAGGUGAACACUUUAAACAGUUCACAGAGAAAUCUGGUGAAUGGGCCUCUCGUGACCAGUUUUGUACUUAAUGUAAGUGGCCUCGAGGUUAGGUGCAUCUCGACAGUGCGUGGAGGUUCCCAUUGAUAUCAUGGAGGGGCGUCAUUGACCAUGAUAACAAUGCUGCCCUUCUCUUUAUUCUGUGAUGGACUCAUUUAUUUCUUCCUCUCCUGUAGUGUUGACAAGUACGCUGUCUUCCAUCAUGACCAGACUGGUUGGCUAGGUACCACACUCUACGCCGUCUGUAUUUGGAGUAGACAUCUUGCUACAUGAAGACAUCCUGGUGGAAGGAGCACUGCCUUUAUUACGAACGUCUCGUUGACUCGUUUUAAGCAAUUCUGGAACCUCCGCUGCUACUGCCAUAGUACAGACAGGACCGCUUCAAAUGGACUUCAGAGAAUGACUUGCAGUUAUGCAGAAAUAGAUAUAGUUCUCAGUGAUCGAGUCACAGGACAAAAAUUAUCUGCUUUGUUCUUGGAGAUUGUUGUCUGUGUGGCAAAAUUGGGCCAAGGUCCCAGGAACCAGCAUUUUGACCGUCCCUCCACCAUAAACACUCUGCUGACUUCCACAAACACAGCAAAGUUCCAAGAUGGCCCGUAUUGUAUCUCAUGACUAAAGUGCCCGACACUUGAUGAGUGAUGCCUGGUUUCUUGAGUUUGAUCCUGCACUAUUCAGCCUGCGUCGCAGAGACAACUGAGGGCGCUGUGAUGGAAUGAGUGAGCUUGAUGAGCUGCGCUAGGUCAACCAUCACUAGAUUGGUGUGACGUGACACCUGGAGACCGUGUACCAGCAUCCUUUUCACCAGUUUUGUUGUGGUGAACUGUUUAUUUGUUUACAUUUUCAUAAGCCGAGCUCUGUGUACUUAUGACAAUUGUUAAAAGUCCUCUGCCUCACACUACUGAGCUUAUGAAGUGAAUGAAGUUGAAAGUGAUUGUAAUCUGGUAAAGAAAAAGUGUUGACGUUAUACUGUUAAACCUGAUUUUAUUUUGUAUAGCGGCAUUUGAGUACAAUGACCAGCUGAGAUACCAGAACUUAGCUUGAAAUGAAAUAGACUUUAUUCUUGGGCCUUUUUCAGUCCCUUUUGGGCUGUCCAGGUCUAUGCAUAAAAUAUUUUGCUUGUUUGGUUGACUGGAAUCUUGUUUAAUUGAACCAGUGUAAUGUCAAUCACUACGUCAGUCAGUAUGUUACAGUUUUAUAGGCCAAAGUAAACUGCUGAUAGUCUGGUUUGGUAUUGGUUCCAGAAGAGUUAAUAAGCCUUUUGCGAGUUAAAUUUGAAUAAAAUCUGGUACACCGAGUUCUUUAAAUUCAC
Acanthaster planci (crown-of-thorns starfish) is the source of this 2059-nucleotide long non-coding RNA. Lineage: Eukaryota; Metazoa; Echinodermata; Asteroidea; Valvatida; Acanthasteridae. The record is from RefSeq and is a predicted model, not a curated record.